UGGGGAAUAUUGCACAAUGGGGGAAACCCUGAUGCAGCGACGCCGCGUGGGUGACGAAGUAUUUCGGUAUGUAAAGCCCUAUCAGCAGGGAAGAAGCUGACAGUACCUGACUAAGAAGCCCCGGCUAACUACGUGCC
This 137-nucleotide ribosomal RNA is filed under the name uncultured bacterium. RNAcentral's name for it is "partial 16S ribosomal RNA". It matches the Rfam family "Bacterial small subunit ribosomal RNA", at positions 355 to 509 of the family's 1533-position model. The record is from RNAcentral.